RNAcentral lists this ribosomal RNA (405 nucleotides) under uncultured bacterium. RNAcentral describes it as "partial 16S ribosomal RNA". It matches the Rfam family "Bacterial small subunit ribosomal RNA", at positions 29 to 526 of the family's 1533-position model. The record is from RNAcentral.
AUUGAACGCUGGCGGCAGGCUUAACACAUGCAAGUCGAACGAGAGGCGGACGGGUGAGUAAUGCUUGGAAAUCUAGCUUAUGGAGGGGGCUACCUACGGGAAAGUGUAGCUAAUAACGCGAAACGUAGGCUGAGCCCAAGGGGUAUUAGGUAGUUGGUGAGGUAAAGGCGCACCAAGCCGACGAUCGCGAGCGGGUCUGAGAGGCUGACCAGCAACACGGUGACACAGACACGGCCCAGCCGCCUAGGUGAGGCAGCAGUGGGGAAGAUUGCGCAAUGGGGGCAACCUGACGCAGCCAUGCCGCGUGACUGAAGAAGGCCUUCGGGUUGUAAAGUUCUUACGGUAGCGAGGCGUUACCUACAGAAGAAGCACCGGCUAACGCCGUGCCAGCCGCCGCGGUAAUUC